Molecule: ribosomal RNA, 678 nt
Filed under: uncultured Bacteroidales bacterium
Lineage: Bacteria; Pseudomonadati; Bacteroidota; Bacteroidia; Bacteroidales
Description: bacterial SSU rRNA
Rfam family: Bacterial small subunit ribosomal RNA
Source: RNAcentral
AGUUUGCUUGCAAACUGAAGAUGGCGACCGGCGCACGGGUGAGUAACACGUAUCCAACCUGCCGAUAACUCCGGGAUAGCCUUUCGAAAGAAAGAUUAAUACCGGAUGGCAUACGAAUAUCGCAUGAUAUUUUUAUUAAAGAAUUUCGGUUAUCGAUGGGGAUGCGUUCCAUUAGUUUGUUGGCGGGGUAACGGCCCACCAAGACUACGAUGGAUAGGGGUUCUGAGAGGAAGGUCCCCCACAUUGGAACUGAGACACGGUCCAAACUCCUACGGGAGGCAGCAGUGAGGAAUAUUGGUCAAUGGGCGAGAGCCUGAACCAGCCAAGUAGCGUGAAGGAUGAAGGCUCUAUGGGUCGUAAACUUCUUUUAUAUGGGAAUAAAGUUUUCCACGUGUGGAAUUUUGUAUGUACCAUAUGAAUAAGGAUCGGCUAACUCCGUGCCAGCAGCCGCGGUAAUACGGAGGAUCCGAGCGUUAUCCGGAUUUAUUGGGUUUAAAGGGAGCGUAGGUGGAUUGUUAAGUCAGUUGUGAAAGUUUGCGGCUCAACCGUAAAAUUGCAGUUGAAACUGGCAGUCUUGAGUACAGUAGAGGUGGGCGGAAUUCGUGGUGUAGCGGUGAAAUGCUUAGAUAUCACGAAGAACUCCGAUUGCGAAGGCAGCUCACUAGACUGUUACUGACA